This 508-nucleotide ribosomal RNA is filed under the name uncultured bacterium. RNAcentral describes it as "partial 16S ribosomal RNA". It matches the Rfam family "Bacterial small subunit ribosomal RNA", at positions 28 to 507 of the family's 1533-position model. The record is from RNAcentral.
GACGAACGCUGGCGGCGUGCCUAAUACAUGCAAGUCGAACGCUUCUUUCCUCCCGAGUGCUUGCACUCCAUUGGAAAGAGGAGUGGCGGACGGGUGAGUAACACGUGGGUAACCUACCCAUCAGAGGGGGAUAACACUUGGAAACAGGUGCUAAUACCGCAUAACAGUUUAUGCCGCAUGGCAUAAGAGUGAAAGGCGCUUUCGGGUGUCGCUGAUGGAUGGACCCGCGGUGCAUUAGCUAGUUGGUGAGGUAACGGCUCACCAAGGCCACGAUGCAUAGCCGACCUGAGAGGGUGAUCGGCCACACUGGGACUGAGACACGGCCCAGACUCCUACGGGAGGCAGCAGUAGGGAAUCUUCGGCAAUGGACGAAAGUCUGACCGAGCAACGCCGCGUGAGUGAAGAAGGUUUUCGGAUCGUAAAACUCUGUCGUUAGAGAAGAACAAGGACGUUAGUAACUGAACGUCCCCUGACGGUAUCUAACCAGAAAGCCACGGCUAACUACGUG